Molecule: ribosomal RNA, 819 nt
Filed under: uncultured Bacillota bacterium
Lineage: Bacteria; Bacillati; Bacillota
Description: bacterial SSU rRNA
Rfam family: Bacterial small subunit ribosomal RNA
Source: RNAcentral
AGGGAGUUUGAUCCUGGCUCAGGAUAAACGCUGGCGGCGCACAUAAGACAUGCAAGUCGAACGGAAGCCGUUAUAAAAGAAGUGGAAAGACGAUUUAUCUGAUUGAAACGGAAAUUAUAACAAUGACUUUAGUGGCGGACUGGUGAGUAACGCGUGAGCAACCUGCCUAUUAGAGGGGAAUAACAGUGAGAAAUCAUUGCUAAUACCGCAUAAGCUUGUAGAAUCACAUGAUACAGCAAGAAAAGGAGAAAUCCGCUAAUAGAUGGGCUCGCGUCUGAUUAGCUAGUUGGUGUGGUAACGGCAUACCAAGGCAACGAUCAGUAGCCGAGCUGAGAGGCUCUACGGCCACAUUGGGACUGAGAUACGGCCCAGACUCCUACGGGAGGCAGCAGUCGGGAAUAUUGCGCAAUGGAGGAAACUCUGACCCAGCAACGCCGCGUAUAGGAAGAAGGUUUUAGGAUUGUAAACUAUUUUAGACAGGGAAGAGAAAGGACUGUACCUGUAGAAUAAGCUCCGGCUAACUACGUGCCAGCAGCCGCGGUAAUACGUAGGGAGCAAGCGUUAUCCGGAAUUAUUGGGUGUAAAGGGUGCGUAGACGGGAACUUAAGUUGGUUGUGAAAUCCCUUGGCUUAACUGAGGAACUGCAACCAAAACUGGGAUUCUUGAGUGCUGGAGAGGAAAGUGGAAUUCCUAGUGUAGCGGUGAAAUGCGUAGAUAUUAGGAGGAACACCAGUGGCGAAGGCGGCUUUCUGGACAGUAACUGACGUUGAGGCACGAAAGUGUGGGGAGCAAACAGGAUUAGAUACCCUGGUAGUCCCU